UACGUAGGGUGCAAGCGUUGUCCGGAAUUAUUGGGCGUAAAGAGCUCGUAGGCGGUUUGUCGCGUCUGCUGUGAAAACCCGAGGCUCAACCUCGGGCCUGCAGUGGGUACGGGCAGACUAGAGUGCGGUAGGGGAGAUUGGAAUUCCUGGUGUAGCGGUGGAAUGCGCAGGAUAUCAGGAGGAACACCGAUGGCGAAGGCAGAUCUCUGGGCCGUAACUGGACGCUGAGGAGCGAAAGCAUGGGGAGCAAACAGG
Molecule: ribosomal RNA, 255 nt
Filed under: uncultured bacterium
Lineage: Bacteria
Description: partial 16S ribosomal RNA
Rfam family: Bacterial small subunit ribosomal RNA
Source: RNAcentral